CCCCCAGUAACGGCGAGUGAAGCGGGAAGAGCUCAAGCUUAAAAUCUCCAUACCUGUAUGGCGAAUUGUAGUCUAUUGAGGCUGUUGUCAGCAUCGCGAUUGGGGACAAGUCCCUUGGAAAAGGGCAGCAUGGAGGGUGAUACUCCCGUCUCUGCUCCAAUUUGCGGUGUGUACGAUACGCUUUCUUUGAGUCGAGUUGUUUGGGAAUACAGCUCAAAGUAGGUGGUAAAUUCCAUCUAAAGCUAAAUAUUGGUGCGAGACCGAUAGCGAACAAGUACCGUGAGGGAAAGAUGAAAAGAACUUUGAAAAGAGAGUUAAAGAGUACCUGAAACUGUUGAAAGGGAACCGUAUCGUUUCCAGUGUUGUAUCCUAUGCAUAUUUCAUUCGCGGAGCAAUUUGCGGGUGCCCUGUGCAUGGGUGUGACGUCAGAGUCAGUUUGUAUGCUGCGGGAGAUGGUCAGUGAGGAGGUGCGUCACUUCGGUGAAAGUUAUAUCUCGCUGUCUAGUAGCCGUGGUUGAGACUGAGGUGCCUACAACAUGCCUUAAAGUUCCGUGUUGCCUCGUGUUGAUGACUGCUUUGAUAGCUUGCUAUGUCUGUGGUUUAUGAAUGCGAUUGGUGAU
Molecule: ribosomal RNA, 620 nt
Filed under: Saprolegnia sp. UNCW374
Lineage: Eukaryota; Oomycota; Saprolegniomycetes; Saprolegniales; Saprolegniaceae
Description: eukaryotic LSU rRNA
Rfam family: Eukaryotic large subunit ribosomal RNA
Source: RNAcentral